CAGCCGCCGCGGUAAUACGGAGGGGGCUAGCGUUGUUCGGAAUCACUGGGCGUAAAGCGCACGUAGGCGGCUUUGCAAGUCAGAGGUGAAAGCCUGGAGCUCAACUCCAGAAUUGCCUUUGAGACUGCAUCGCUUGAACGUCGGAGAGGUGAGUGGAAUUCCGAGUGUAGAGGUGAAAUUCGUAGAUAUUCGGAAGAACACCAGUGGCGAAGGCGGCUCACUGGACUGGUAUUGACGCUGAGGUGCGAAAGCGUGGGGAGCAAACAGGAUUAGAUACCCCAGUAGUCCCUGUCUCUUAUAC
Molecule: ribosomal RNA, 301 nt
Filed under: uncultured bacterium
Lineage: Bacteria
Description: partial 16S ribosomal RNA
Rfam family: Bacterial small subunit ribosomal RNA
Source: RNAcentral